This 557-nucleotide long non-coding RNA is filed under the name Anser cygnoides (Swan goose). Its description in RNAcentral is "lncRNA (ENSACDG00005014852.1)". Lineage: Eukaryota; Metazoa; Chordata; Aves; Anseriformes; Anatidae. The record is from RNAcentral.
AUGGUUUGGGUUGGAGGGGACCUUAAAGCCUGUCUGGUUCCAGCCCCCUGCCAUGGCAGGGACACCUCCCCCCAGCCCAGGCUGCCCCCAGCCCCAUCCAGCCUGGCCUUGGGCGCUGCCAGGGAUGGGGCACCCACAGCUCCUCAGGGCAGCCUACGACAGGGCCUCACCACCCUCAGAGUAAAGAAUUUCUUCCUAAUCACUAAUUUCUUCUGUCCUGCUCACCCACCACUGCAGGAGAGGACCCCCAAGGCCUACCCAUGGAAGAAGGAUCUUGUUCUUCUUAUACUCUCUGUCCUCUGCACUGAGGAGUGGUAUUGGAAACCUGGAGCAAGAGGUCAGGAGAGGAGCUACAAGCCCGAGGCAGGAGAGCAAAUGAUGAGGAAGGAAAGCCAGGGUGAUCUGGUGAAGCCUUAAAGGAGACUGAAUGUCCCAGGGUUGACAUCAACACUGCAGUGGACAGCUUCCAAAGGACACAUAAACCAACUCACUUCCAAAAAAAAAAAGUCUCUCCAGCAAUUUUGCCUGCAAAAAAAUAAAUGCAAGAUCCUCUCUCA